RNAcentral lists this transfer RNA (70 nucleotides) under Hormaphis betulae. Its description in RNAcentral is "tRNA-Cys". The record is from RNAcentral. Lineage: Eukaryota; Metazoa; Arthropoda; Insecta; Hemiptera; Hormaphididae.
AACUUUAUAUUCAAAUAAAUGAUGUUAAAUUGCAAGUUUAAAGGUAUUAAUUAUAAUUUAAUUAAGGUUU